RNAcentral lists this ribosomal RNA (458 nucleotides) under uncultured Desulfovibrio sp. Its description in RNAcentral is "bacterial SSU rRNA". It matches the Rfam family "Bacterial small subunit ribosomal RNA", at positions 930 to 1382 of the family's 1533-position model. Lineage: Bacteria; Pseudomonadati; Thermodesulfobacteriota; Desulfovibrionia; Desulfovibrionales; Desulfovibrionaceae. The record is from RNAcentral.
CGGUGGAGUAUGUGGUUUAAUUCGACGCAACGCGCAGAACCUUACCUUAGGCUUGACAUCCCGGGAAUUUGCUGGAAACAGUGAAGUGCUUUCAUUAGAAAGAGCCCGGUGACAGGUGCUGCAUGGCUGUCGUCAGCUCGUGUCGUGAGAUGUUGGGUUAAGUCCCGCAACGAGCGCAACCCUCGCCUUUAGUUGCCAGCAUUCAGUUGGGCACUCUAAAGGGACUGCCGGUGUCAAACCGGAGGAAGGUGGGGAUGACGUCAAGUCCUCAUGGCCUUUAUGUCUAGGGCUACACACGUACUACAAUGGCAGGUACAAAGGGCAGCGACACAGCGAUGUGAUGCGAAUCCCGAAAAGCCUGUCUCAGUCCGGAUCGGAGUCUGCAACUCGACUCCGUGAAGUUGGAAUCGCUAGUAAUCGUGGAUCAGCAUGCCACGGUGAAUACGUUCCCGGGCCUU